RNAcentral lists this ribosomal RNA (434 nucleotides) under uncultured Clostridium sp. RNAcentral's name for it is "partial 16S ribosomal RNA". It matches the Rfam family "Bacterial small subunit ribosomal RNA", at positions 341 to 792 of the family's 1533-position model. The record is from RNAcentral. Lineage: Bacteria; Bacillati; Bacillota; Clostridia; Eubacteriales; Clostridiaceae.
ACGGGAGGCAGCAGUGGGGAAUAUUGCACAAUGGGGGAAACCCUGAUGCAGCGACGCCGCGUGAGCGAAGAAGUAUUUCGGUAUGUAAAACUCUAUCAGCAGGGAAGAUAAUGACGGUACCUGACUAAGAAGCACCGGCUAAAUACGUGCCAGCAGCCGCGGUAGUACGUAUGGUGCAAGCGUUAUCCGGAUUUACUGGGUGUAAAGGGAGCGUAGACGGCAUGGCAAGCCAGAUGUGAAAGGCAGGGGCUCAACUCCUGGACUGCAUUUGGAACUGUCAAGCUAGAGUAUCGGAGAGGUAAGUGGAAUUCCUAGUGUAGCGGUGAAAUGCGUAGAUAUUAGGAGGAACACCAGUGGCGAAGGCGGCUUACUGGACUGUAACUGACGUUGAGGCUCGAAAGCGUGGGGAGCAAACAGGAUUAGAUACCCUGGUA